Molecule: ribosomal RNA, 429 nt
Filed under: Acidobacteriota bacterium
Lineage: Bacteria; Pseudomonadati; Acidobacteriota
Description: Acidobacteria bacterium partial 16S ribosomal RNA
Rfam family: Bacterial small subunit ribosomal RNA
Source: RNAcentral
UGGGGAAUAUUGCACAAUGGGCGCAAGCCUGAUGCAGCCAUGCCGCGUGUAUGAAGAAGGCCUUCGGGUUGUAAAGUACUUUCAGCGGGGAGGAAGGUGUUGUGGUUAAUAACCGCAGCAAUUGACGUUACCCGCAGAAGAAGCACCGGCUAACUCCGUGCCAGCAGCCGCGGUAAUACGGAGGGUGCAAGCGUUAAUCGGAAUUACUGGGCGUAAAGCGCACGCAGGCGGUCUGUCAAGUCGGAUGUGAAAUCCCCGGGCUCAACCUGGGAACUGCAUACGAAACUGGCAGGCUAGAGUCGUGUAGAGGGGGGUAGAAUUCCAGGUGUAGCGGUGAAAUGCGUAGAGAUCUGGAGGAAUACCGGUGGCGAAGGCGGCCCCCUGGACAAAGACUGACGCUCAGGUGCGAAAGCGUGGGGAGCAAACAGG